RNAcentral lists this ribosomal RNA (907 nucleotides) under Saccharomyces cerevisiae (brewer's yeast). RNAcentral's name for it is "SSU rRNA". It matches the Rfam family "Eukaryotic small subunit ribosomal RNA", at positions 1 to 919 of the family's 1831-position model. Lineage: Eukaryota; Fungi; Ascomycota; Saccharomycetes; Saccharomycetales; Saccharomycetaceae. The record is from RNAcentral.
UCUGGUUGAUCCUGCCAGUAGUCAUAUGCUUGUCUCAAAGAUUAAGCCAUGCAUGUCUAAGUAUAAGCAAUUUAUACAGUGAAACUGCGAAUGGCUCAUUAAAUCAGUUAUCGUUUAUUUGAUAGUUCCUUUACUACAUGGUAUAACUGUGGUAAUUCUAGAGCUAAUACAUGCUUAAAAUCUCGACCCUUUGGAAGAGAUGUAUUUAUUAGAUAAAAAAUCAAUGUCUUCGGACUCUUUGAUGAUUCAUAAUAACUUUUCGAAUCGCAUGGCCUUGUGCUGGCGAUGGUUCAUUCAAAUUUCUGCCCUAUCAACUUUCGAUGGUAGGAUAGUGGCCUACCAUGGUUUCAACGGGUAACGGGGAAUAAGGGUUCGAUUCCGGAGAGGGAGCCUGAGAAACGGCUACCACAUCCAAGGAAGGCAGCAGGCGCGCAAAUUACCCAAUCCUAAUUCAGGGAGGUAGUGACAAUAAAUAACGAUACAGGGCCCAUUCGGGUCUUGUAAUUGGAAUGAGUACAAUGUAAAUACCUUAACGAGGAACAAUUGGAGGGCAAGUCUGGUGCCAGCAGCCGCGGUAAUUCCAGCUCCAAUAGCGUAUAUUAAAGUUGUUGCAGUUAAAAAGCUCGUAGUUGAACUUUGGGCCCGGUUGGCCGGUCCGAUUUUUCGUGUACUGGAUUUCCAACGGGGCCUUUCCUUCUGGCUAACCUUGAGUCCUUGUGGCUCUUGGCGAACCAGGACUUUACUUUGAAAAAAUUAGAGUGUUCAAGCAGGCGUAUUGCUCGAAUAUAUUAGCAUGGAAUAAUAGAAUAGGACGUUUGGUUCUAUUUUGUUGGUUUUCUAGGACCAUCGUAAUGAUUAAUAGGGACGGUCGGGGGCAUCAGUAAUUCAAUUGUCAGAGGUGAAAUUC